UACGUAGGUGGCAAGCGUUAUCCGGAUUUAUUGGGUUUAAAGGGUGCGUAGGCGGAGUGUCAAGUCAGUGGUAAAAUUUCGGGGCUCAACCCCGUCGAGCCGUUGAAACUGGCAGACUUGAGUUGGCGAGAAGUACGCGGAAUGCGCGGUGUAGCGGUGAAAUGCAUAGAUAUCGCGCAGAACCCCGAUUGCGAAGGCAGCAUGCCGGCUUCCGACUGACGCUGAAGCACGAAAGCGUGGGGAUCGAACAGG
RNAcentral lists this ribosomal RNA (252 nucleotides) under uncultured Bacteroidales bacterium. RNAcentral's name for it is "partial 16S ribosomal RNA". It matches the Rfam family "Bacterial small subunit ribosomal RNA", at positions 524 to 776 of the family's 1533-position model. Lineage: Bacteria; Pseudomonadati; Bacteroidota; Bacteroidia; Bacteroidales. The record is from RNAcentral.